RNAcentral lists this ribosomal RNA (500 nucleotides) under uncultured bacterium. RNAcentral describes it as "partial 16S ribosomal RNA". It matches the Rfam family "Bacterial small subunit ribosomal RNA", at positions 30 to 523 of the family's 1533-position model. The record is from RNAcentral.
AUUGAACGCUGGCGGCAUGCCUUACACAUGCAAGUCGAACGGCAGCACGGGAGCAAUCCUGGUGGCGAGUGGCGAACGGGUGAGUAAAGUAUCGGAACGUGCCCAGUCGUGGGGGAUAACGUAGCGAAAGUUACGCUAAUACCGCAUACGAUCUAUGGAUGAAAGCGGGGGAUCGCAAGACCUCGCGCGAUUGGAGCGGCCGAUAUCAGAUUAGGUAGUUGGUGGGGUAAAGGCCCACCAAGCCGACGAUCUGUAGCUGGUCUGAGAGGACGACCAGCCACACGGGGACUGAGACACGGCCCAGACUCCUACGGGAGGCAGCAGUGGGGAAUUUUGGACAAUGGGCGAAAGCCUGAUCCAGCCAUGCCGCAUGCAGGAUGAAGGCCUUCGGGUUGUAAACUGCUUUUGUACGGAACGAAAAGGACUGCCCUAAUACGGUGGUCCCAUGACGGUACCGUAAGAAUAAGCACCGGCUAACUACGUGCCAGCAGCCGCCGUAA